GUGCUUAACACAUGCAAGUCGAACGCGCAGUCUGUAGCAAUACAGGCGGGCGCGUGGCGAACGGGUGCGUAACACGUGGAUAACCUUCCUUCAGGUGGGGAAUAACCCAGUGAAAAUUGGGCUAAUACCGCAUAACAAGACGAUGGCACAUGCCGUUGUCUUCAAAGGCGCAAGUCGCCAGAAGAGGGAUCCGCGGCCGAUUAGCUUGUUGGCGGGGUAAUGGCCCACCAAGGCAAUGAUCGGUAGCCGGACUGAGAGGUUGGCCGGCCACACUGGAACUGAGACACGGUCCAG
RNAcentral lists this ribosomal RNA (294 nucleotides) under uncultured bacterium. RNAcentral's name for it is "partial 16S ribosomal RNA". It matches the Rfam family "Bacterial small subunit ribosomal RNA", at positions 44 to 334 of the family's 1533-position model. The record is from RNAcentral.